AGGCAGCAGUGGGGAAUAUUGCGCAAUGGGCGAAAGCCUGACGCAGCAACGCCGCGUGCGGGAUGACGGCCUUCGGGUUGUAAACCGCUUUCAGCAGGGACGAAACUGACGGUACCUGCAGAAGAAGCACCGGCUAACUACGUGCCAGCAGCCGCGGUGAUACGUAGGGUGCGAGCGUUGUCCGGAAUUAUUGGGCGUAAAGAGCUCGUAGGCGGUCUGUCGCGUCGGAAGUGAAAACUCGGGGCUCAACCCCGAGCCUGCUUUCGAUACGGGCAGACUUGAGGAAUGUAGGGGAGAACGGAAUUCCUGGUGGAGCGGUGGAAUGCGCUAGAUAUCAGGAGGAACACCAGUGGCGAAGGCGGUUCUCUGGACAUUAACUGACGCUGAGGAGCGAAAGCGUGGGGAGCAAACAGGAUUAGAUACCCCGGUAG
Molecule: ribosomal RNA, 431 nt
Filed under: uncultured bacterium
Lineage: Bacteria
Description: bacterial SSU rRNA
Rfam family: Bacterial small subunit ribosomal RNA
Source: RNAcentral